ACCCCUAGCCACAUGGAUGAUGCUGUGCUGCCAGCAAUGGGAAGAAAUUAAAACACUCCUCAUGCAGACCCAGAAAACAUGCCUCCUCCAAGGAUUCCGUUCCACCUGCUGGUCGGCAAGGCCGCCCACUCCCUCUGUGGGGGAUAUUUUCCUGGCUCCAUUUAGCUGGUGUUUGCCCCCAGUGAGGGCCCUCCACGUGGGAGAGGAAGAAAUUGACCCAGGAACCAAGCCUGAGACAGAAGCACCCAGUGUCCACCUUUGUACUGUGCAGAGCUGCAAUGCACUCCUGUCUGUUUUUCCAGGGAUUUUUUUCCACCCACCUUUGAAACAGUAAAGUGUUCUCUUUUGACAGGCUGGCCUAAUGGGAAGGUUGACCUGAUUUCCACUCUCCUACCGAAAAGUGACAAUGCAGCUGCCGGGCCAAGGAGGGACGUUGUGUGACCAGUUCAGAGGCAGGAGUUCACGCGGCUGCAGUGACCCUCUGCAAAAGGAAGCAACUGGACAUUUCCUCUACACAUUGUCUCUUUUGAAAAGUUCCAAGCAGAUGCUCGCCCACCCACCAAGGCUGAGGCCGAAGAAAAUUCUCCGAUGACAAGGCUCUGCAGGUGCCGUACAGAGCAAGUACUUUUCAGACAGCUGACGGAGCCCAGAGCAAGCUUCCCCCGGAGCAUCCAAAGGGGCCACUUGGCUGCGGUCGCCAUCACGAGAACAACAGGAAACUGAGCAGGGGCUGCGCUCGUCCUGGGCAGGACAACUCUCCAUUUCCCUUCAGGCCUGGCAUUGUUUUGCUGAUGGAAGAAAAGUGGAAUGGGGCGUGAUCACACUGCCGGCUCAGCAGCUGGAAAGCUCGUGUUGGCUUAAAUGUGCACAAGAUGUCCUCUGGUUGCUGGAUUUGGCUUCUUUGAUGACUGCAUUGCCCUGAGACUGGACCCCAGAGAAUCUCUUAAUUUUUGGGUGCUUUGACGGUUAAUCACUGAACAACAAAGAAUCGCUCAAUAACUGGAUGCCUAUCUAAAAACACUUCUCAACCUCCUUUGCAUAUAGACAUGACCAACAUGCUGAAGUCAAUGUGUAGGGGUUUCCAGGAAGUCUCUUUAAGAAGAACCAAUUCACCUGCAAGAAGGAUGAUGAAGUCUUCUGCCCCGAGAUCCUGAGAGAACAGUGGGCUUAGUGGAAACACCACACACCUGGCUGGGUCUUGUCAGGUGGAGACGCUGAGGGGCUGUUUCUUUCCAGUCCCGGAAGACGCAGAAUUCUCUCUCGGCAGCUUUGCUCGGCCUGCAUCUGAGCGAGAAAGAUACCACAUCCCAGAGUUGCUGUGAGCUUCAAACGAGACGAGAUAUGUAGAAGUGCCAGGCAGAUAAAAACCGGUUCUACAACUCUAGGAGGACGGCAGAGAACAGACUUCUGUCUCGAGCACCUGCCCUGUUUAGGCUUCCCAGCAGCAGGUCAACAGCAUCUCCCGUUGCCUCCUGCUUCCAAGGUAAGUUUCCCAACUCCCCUUGCAGGAAGGCGGGAGCAUAUCAUGCCCGGGUUCAGGAGGAGGCAGUGUGGGUGCAGGGUGUUGGUGUUGGGUGAGGGUGUUGCUGGAGGGAUCUGUGGGUUCUGUCACAAGUACCGCAGCCGGUCAUAGCACUGUGAUGCCGCCUCCCGGAGGCCUUUGCUGGAGGGCACUCCAGUGGGAUCUAGGCAUUGCUCCUGGUUUCCACACGUCCCACAGACAAUGUGAGAAGAAGUCUUGAAUAAAUUCCCUUUUCUGCAUCAGCUUCCUAAAGUGGGUUCUGUUAUUGCAACUACAAAUCCUGACUCACGCACCGUCCCACAGGGCGGUUCCAAAGAAGAAUCAUGGUUGUGAGUUGCUUGGCGAAACACUCCGCACACAGUAGGUACCCUGUAUAUAAUUGUUGAAUGAAUUAAUUAAAGAAUGAAUUAAUGGAAAUAAAGCACAGGGCAAGGUGUCCAGCCCCUGGGAACUAGUCACUAACUAUGUGUUAUUAGGACUGAUCACGACGAUUAUAAAAUAAUUAUAAUGCAGCCUUGAAAAUAGCCACCAGCCUGUGUGCAUCUGGGCAGCCAAAGAAAAUAUGAGUCACCGCCAUAACCAUCAGGUCUAUUGCCAACUUCCGGGCCCAGGUAGAAUUUCUCUGUGGCUUUAAGGUUCAGGCAACUAAAUAUGUGGAGAAGUGAUAUCUGUCAGGCUGGAGGCUUUAUGUCCGGGGUGCAAUUUACCACGACUUCUUUUGUCUCUGCCAUGGUGGCUGGCAACAUCUGAAUGCUGGUGGUGUGACAGCUCUCCACAGAAGCACAGUAGAAAAACAAAAUCAAGGUUGCACAAAAGAGGGUUGUGUGUUCUUGUGGCAAAUCUAGUCCACCCUGGCUGGUAGAAUAACCUAAAGGAAAUUGUCAAAUCAGGUGGAGCAAGGCGGCUCAAGCUCUGUCCAGCAAUCUGCUGUAUUUUUCUCUUCUCUCUGUGGGUUUUGAACUAGAAUCUGUUUCCAGUUCAUGUCUAGUUAAAUGUCUUUAUUCUCUUUGGUUUAAUCACCAAGAGCAGAAAGGCAUGAUGAGGGCAUCUCUGAUCAUAAUUAAAUCUAGCCUGUGAAAAUGCUCUUGGCUAGACUCUGCUGGUCUUCAUCGUAAAGCCCGUGGGAAGCUCUCAGGAUCAAUAUUCUGCCUUGUUCGUAAAAUCACCUACGAAGGUCCUGGUUUGGCCCUCUGUGAUGGCUUGCGUGAAACUCUGUGCAGCACCAAGUAGGGCCUGGAUUCCUCUAAACUGUUCAUGUUAUUUUUGGUGCGGGUGAACGAGGUUUGUUCGUGAGAAUCUGACUAUUGAAAACAGGCGGUGCAGAUAAAUGAAUGACUAUCUCUGGUGCAUGCUUUGGGUGUAUUCCAGACGUGUCAACUUGUAAACAAAGGAGGUGUCCACUCUAUGCUGGGGACCGUGUGGUCAGCUGGGUGGCUGUUGAUGGGUGGAGGUUUACACAGCAAUGUCCCAUGGCAGGUACUGCCUGUGACCGCCGCUCCUCCCUGACAGGGUUCCGAUGGGAAUGGGAGAAUUUGAAUUCUGUAUCACAGGCUGGUCUAUUCACUUCAUGCCUUUGGAGGCCUGGUGAUAGAAUUGUCUUUGAAUAGAUGAUUAGUACUUUGACCUUAUGCAUUAAUUGACUGUGCCUAAAGAUGUGAAAAAAUGGAUUUCAGUCUCUUUCAGGGAAAUGCUCAGGAAUUUUCUGAAAAGACAAACCAUAUGGUAAAAUGUGAUGAUUGCCUUCAUGGGGCCUGUGCAUGUGGGUGGAUCUUUGAUGCCAAGAACUGGGUUAAAAGUAAAGAUCUUGGCUAUUGAAGGUGAAGAAUGUGCACUGCCCCCCGGCCACCAUAUCAGCACCCCUGGGGCCCCAGUCUCUGCAGGUUCUGAUUGCAUCUGGUAACCUGGUCCACCCCUGACCUUUCUCACCUCAGAAAAUGGCAUCUCCAUGGAACCAAAAGCUCAAAGAAUCUAUCUUGGAUGCACCCCUUCCCGUCAACUCCCACUACAUCCUAGACAGGCCCCCUUGCCUUUCCAGCACUAGUUCAGUCCCCUCCUCACGGGCUCCUGGGCCCUUCUGAACCUCCUCUGCACAGUUCAUUCUCACAUGAGAGCAAGAGAUCCUCUUAAAAUAUAGUCAGGUCUGGUUCCUCCUCUGCUCAAAAUCCCACGAGUCAAAGCCAAAUUCCCAUAAUGUCUACAAUGAUGGUUCUCCAAUGCUUCCCCCAGGGGACAUUUGGCAGUGUCUAGAGGCAGUUUUGGUUGUCACAAAUGGGGAGCGGGGGAUGCUACUGGAAUCUGGUGGGUAGAGGCCAGGGGUACUGCUAAACUUCCUACAACACACAAGAUAGCACUGUCACAGAGAAGCAGCCAGCCUAACAUGCCAACAGUGACAAAGCUGGGGAGGCUUGACACAGACAGCAAAUGACAGCUGUCUGCCUGGAAUAGUGAAUAGGAUGGAGAAUUCUUGUGUAAUCUCACAGAAAGUGGCCGAAUUUGUUUGUUCUUGUCUUUGCCAUCUCUAUUGCAUAUAGGAAGGGUCAGGAAAAACGAUUGCUUUCAGUUAGGAAUGCAUUGAGCUGCAAUUAAAAAGUCAAGCGUGACUUAAACAAAUCAAUGUAUCAGUGCUCUUUUUUUAAAAAAAAAAAAAAAAACUUUUUCCCCAUAUAAAUGCUUGGAGAUACUUCAGGGCCAUUAUGCUCACCUAAAAGUGUUGUCAUGGAUCCAUGUCCUUGGGACUUCCUGCCCUGCCAUCCUUGACAACUGACCGUCACGGUCCUUGUCACUGGAUGGAUUCCAUGAUCCAGGCAUGAGGAAGGGAAAAGGGGAAGAGCACAAGACCAACCAUGUCUUUCUCUUUUUAAAAUGUGUUUCUAAAAUCUCCGCCCCGUUGCUUCCACUAAUGAGACUCUGGAAAAUAUAGAUUUCAGUUUUGCCACCCUAAACAAAACCCCUUAGUGAAAAUAUCAGCAGGGAACCAUCAGCAUUUGAGAUGCUUCGCAAACACUGCCUAGGGCCGUAAGAGCUCUUUAUGGGCUUCUGGUUAAGAUGAACUUUUUCUUUCUUGAGGUCCUCCGUCUCUGUCUGUGGAACCAUUCUCCUCCUGGUCAGCUUGCCUCCAAAACUCAGCACCACAUGGUCAGUGCUUAGUAAGAAUACAUCUUUUUCCUGAGGGAAAAACUUCAUCACAGAAGCACAAGGUUACAACAGAUCCUCAAGGUCACCCACUUUUCCUAGGUAACAUCUUGGAUCAGCAUUUACCUAAAAUACUUCCAGGAAUGGGAACUCACCAACCUAAAAGACACCUCCAACAUCAGGGGAAUCUCUGUUUCCAACCUUGAACUCAUUGCUUCCAGUUCCAUCCUUGAGGAGAUCUAAUCUUCACUGCUCCCAGGUUAUAGAAGCCCUGGAUGGCUAAUGGCCCAGGAGGGAGGUUGUCUGUAGUUUACAUCUGAGGACACUGAGAUGCUGGCUGUGAGCUUCAGAUGCAGACUUCUUGGUAAUUGAGCAUUCUUUCUACUACAAUCAUAGAGGACAAGAACAGAACACACCGUACCCGUCUCCAGACAUUACACUACAGCACAGCAGGGUCUUGGUGCAAGCUCACAGCCCACAUGUGUACUGCACCCUACUGUGGCCUGGAAUGAGGCUUGGUCUGGGGCUAGAUUUAUGAAAAACACAGGUCCUGACUUGGUGGGAUCCCCAGCCUGGUUGGCUUGGGUGAUGGGAAUGGCAGGUAAGCUGGGUGCUUUGAGAACAUGGUGGAAGUGGAUAUACUCUGGCCUGGGGGCAUCACAGAGGGCUUCCUGGGGUCAGUGACACACUUUGUGUCCACAACCUCCCCUUACUAAGGAUAUGAUGACACCCUGUGCUUCUAACCAGGGGCUCAACUCUUUCGACUCCUACUGGGGUAUUCUUGCAUGCAGUCUUCCCAGAGGUGAUGGGAAGAAGGUGGCCUGAAAUGGCACCUUUAUAGGUGACAAAUUUCCUAAAUCCAGACAGUUGUGAUGGUCGCCCAACUCUCGAGAUAUGCUAAAAACCAUGGCAUUGUGCCCUUUAAAUGGGAGCAUGUUAUAGUGUGUGAAUCACAUCCCAGUAAAGACGUGUUUUUAAAAUUUUGUCGUGAUAUUUAUGAUAUUUUAUUUUAUUUUAUUUUAUUU
Chlorocebus sabaeus (green monkey) is the source of this 5679-nucleotide long non-coding RNA. RefSeq lists it as uncharacterized. Lineage: Eukaryota; Metazoa; Chordata; Mammalia; Primates; Cercopithecidae. The record is from RefSeq and is a predicted model, not a curated record.